AAUCAUCAAUAUUAGCAGGCGUCUGACUAUUCCCAAAUCCCUGAGUGUUAGUGUUUUGUUGUGUUCCCAAUCUAAAAUCCCCGAAGAUUGUCCAUCCUUCAUGCUCACCUGCACUGUCGUGUUCAUCCCUACACUGUUGCUGUUGGGACUCGAUAUGUGAAUAAUAUGGCUGGGAUAGGGUGGCCUCAGAAUCAUCAUCUCUCUCAUUUUCUUUUUGAAUAAUAUGGAACUAAAAAAAAAAAAAACAAAUUUUCAAAAAAAUCGAUCAUGGAUUAAAAAAAAAAAUCACAAAUUUUCAAAAAAUUCUAUCAUGGAUUACAAAAAAAAAU
Molecule: long non-coding RNA, 329 nt
Filed under: Amborella trichopoda
Lineage: Eukaryota; Viridiplantae; Streptophyta; Magnoliopsida; Amborellales; Amborellaceae
Description: long non-coding RNA (ATRI_LNC002969)
Source: RNAcentral